Non-coding RNA from Prevotella sp. CAG:592, 400 nucleotides. It matches the Rfam family "transfer-messenger RNA". Rfam says of the family: Bacterial tmRNA, also known as 10Sa RNA or SsrA, is named for its dual tRNA and mRNA-like properties. Its role is to liberate the mRNA from a stalled ribosome. Lineage: Bacteria; Pseudomonadati; Bacteroidota; Bacteroidia; Bacteroidales; Prevotellaceae. The record is from Rfam.
GGGGUUGACUGGAUUUGACAGCGGGUAGGAAUGGUACGUAAGCAUGCGGAGCGCAGUCUGCCGGCUCCUUAAUCUCGACAGUCAACAAUUUAUCUGGCGAAAACAACUACGCUCUCGCUGCCUAAUCGAAGUACAGUAGAUUACUGGCUUUAUCCCGCUACCAGGUAGCAGGACGAGACAUCGCUCAAAGGCCGUUGUUCCGAGGCUCUUUGGUAAAGCGGUGCGGUUAAAUCGGAAAUAGUUGCGUUGUGCCUCGCCAACGUAAUGAGAUUUUAGAGGAUAAGGCUGCGGUUGGUGGCUUGGGUCUUGCCACAGCUCGAAAAUGAAGUCCAAGAUAAGCAUGUAGAAAACGUAUGGUUUCCCUGUUUGGACGAGGGUUCGAAUCCCUCCAGCUCCACUC